This 70-nucleotide transfer RNA is filed under the name Cynoglossus zanzibarensis (Zanzibar tonguesole). RNAcentral's name for it is "tRNA-His". It matches the Rfam family "tRNA". Rfam says of the family: Transfer RNA (tRNA) molecules are approximately 80 nucleotides in length. Lineage: Eukaryota; Metazoa; Chordata; Actinopteri; Pleuronectiformes; Cynoglossidae. The record is from RNAcentral.
GUAGAAAUAGUGUAAUUCAAAACAUUAGAUUGUGAUUCUGAAGAUAAAGGUUAAAUUCCUUUUUUCCACC